GACGAACGCUGGCGGCGUGCUUAACACAUGCAAGUCGAACGAUGAGAUCAGUGCUUGCGCUGGUUGAUUAGUGGCGAACGGGUGAGUAAUACGUGAGUAACCUGCCCCCUUCUUUGGGAUAAGCCUUGGAAACGGGGUCUAAUACCGGAUAUUCCUGUCUCAGCGCAUGUUGGGGUGGGGAAAGUUUUGUCGGUGGGGGAUGGGCUCGCGGCCUAUCAGCUUGUUGGUGGGGUGAUGGCCUACCAAGGCGUCGACGGGUAGCCGGCCUGAGAGGGUGACCGGCCACACUGGGACUGAGACACGGCCCAGACUCCUACGGGAGGCAGCAGUGGGGGAUAUUGCACAAUGGGCGCAAGCCUGAUGCAGCGACGCCGCGUGAGGGAUGACGGCUUUCGGGUUGUAAACCUCUUUCGUUACCGAACAAGGCUCUGCUUUUUGGUGGGGUUGAGGGUAGGUGGAUAAGAAGCGCCGGCUAACUACGUG
RNAcentral lists this ribosomal RNA (483 nucleotides) under uncultured organism. RNAcentral's name for it is "bacterial SSU rRNA". It matches the Rfam family "Bacterial small subunit ribosomal RNA", at positions 28 to 507 of the family's 1533-position model. The record is from RNAcentral.